AGCGUACACGGUGGAUGCCCUGGCAGUCAGAGGCGAUGAAGGACGUGCUAAUCUGCGAAAAGCGUCGGUAAGGUGAUAUGAACCGUUAUAACCGGCGAUGUCCGAAUGGGGAAACCCAGUGUGAUUCGUCACACUAUCGUUAACUGAAUACAUAGGUUAACGAGGCGAACCGGGGGAACUGAAACAUCUAAGUACCCCGAGGAAAAGAAAUCAACCGAGAUUCCCCCAGUAGCGGCGAGCGAACGGGGAGCAGCCCAGAGUCUGAAUCAGCUUGUGUGUUAGUGGAACGGUCUGGAAAGUCCGACGGUACAGGGUGAUAGUCCCGUACACCAAAAUGCACAGGUUGUGAACUCGAAGAGUAGGGCGGGACACGUGGUAUCCUGUCUGAAUAUGGGGGGACCAUCCUCCAAGGCUAAAUACUCCUGACUGACCGAUAGUGAACCAGUACCGUGAGGGAAAGGCGAAAAGAACCCCGGCGAGGGGAGUGAAAAAGAACCUGAAACCGUGUACGUACAAGCAGUGGGAGCACCUUUAUGGUGUGACUGCGUACCUUUUGUAUAAUGGGUCAGCGACUUAUAUUCUGUAGCAAGGUUAACCGUAUAGGGGAGCCGCAGGGAAACCGAGUCUUAACUGGGCGUUAAGUUGCAGGGUAUAGACCCGAAACCCGGUGAUCUAGCCAUGGGCAGGUUGAAGGUUGGGUAACACUAACUGGAGGACCGAACCGACUAAUGUUGAAAAAUUAGCGGAUGACUUGUGGCUGGGGGUGAAAGGCCAAUCAAACCGGGAGAUAGCUGGUUCUCCCCGAAAGCUAUUUAGGUAGCGCCUCGUGAACUCAUCUUCGGGGGUAGAGCACUGUUUCGGCUAGGGGGUCAUCCCGACUUACCAACCCGAUGCAAACUACGAAUACCGAAGAAUGUUAUCACGGGAGACACACGGCGGGUGCUAACGUCCGUCGUGAAGAGGGAAACAACCCAGACCGCCAGCUAAGGUCCCAAAGUCAUGGUUAAGUGGGAAACGAUGUGGGAAGGCACAGACAGCCAGGAUGUUGGCUUAGAAGCAGCCAUCAUUUAAAGAAAGCGUAAUAGCUCACUGGUCGAGUCGGCCUGCGCGGAAGAUGUAACGGGGCUAAACCAUGCACCGAAGCUGCGGCAGCGACACUAUGUGUUGUUGGGUAGGGGAGCGUUCUGUAAGCCUGCGAAGGUGUGCUGUGAGGCAUGCUGGAGGUAUCAGAAGUGCGAAUGCUGACAUAAGUAACGAUAAAGCGGGUGAAAAGCCCGCUCGCCGGAAGACCAAGGGUUCCUGUCCAACGUUAAUCGGGGCAGGGUGAGUCGACCCCUAAGGCGAGGCCGAAAGGCGUAGUCGAUGGGAAACAGGUUAAUAUUCCUGUACUUGGUGUUACUGCGAAGGGGGGACGGAGAAGGCUAUGUUAGCCGGGCGACGGUUGUCCCGGUUUAAGCAUGUAGGCUGAUUGUCCAGGCAAAUCCGGAUAAUCAAGGCUGAGGUGUGAUGACGAGGCACUACGGUGCUGAAGUAACAAAUGCCCUGCUUCCAGGAAAAGCCUCUAAGCAUCAGGUAACAUUAAAUCGUACCCCAAACCGACACAGGUGGUCAGGUAGAGAAUACCAAGGCGCUUGAGAGAACUCGGGUGAAGGAACUAGGCAAAAUGGUGCCGUAACUUCGGGAGAAGGCACGCUGGUGUGUAGGUGAAGUCCCUGCGGAUGGAGCUGAGACCAGUCGAAGAUACCAGCUGGCUGCAACUGUUUAUUAAAAACACAGCACUGUGCAAACACGAAAGUGGACGUAUACGGUGUGACGCCUGCCCGGUGCCGGAAGGUUAAUUGAUGGGGUUAUCCGUAAGGAGAAGCUCUUGAUCGAAGCCCCGGUAAACGGCGGCCGUAACUAUAACGGUCCUAAGGUAGCGAAAUUCCUUGUCGGGUAAGUUCCGACCUGCACGAAUGGCGUAAUGAUGGCCAGGCUGUCUCCACCCGAGACUCAGUGAAAUUGAACUCGCUGUGAAGAUGCAGUGUACCCGCGGCAAGACGGAAAGACCCCGUGAACCUUUACUAUAGCUUGACACUGAACAUUGAGCCUUGAUGUGUAGGAUAGGUGGGAGGCUUUGAAGCGUGGACGCCAGUCUGCGUGGAGCCAACCUUGAAAUACCACCCUUUAAUGUUUGAUGUUCUAACGUUGGCCCCUUACCGGGGUUGCGGACAGUGUCUGGUGGGUAGUUUGACUGGGGCGGUCUCCUCCCAAAGCGUAACGGAGGAGCACGAAGGUUAGCUAAUCCUGGUCGGACAUCAGGAGGUUAGUGCAAUGGCAUAAGCUAGCUUGACUGCGAGCGUGACGGCGCGAGCAGGUGCGAAAGCAGGUCAUAGUGAUCCGGUGGUUCUGAAUGGAAGGGCCAUCGCUCAACGGAUAAAAGGUACUCCGGGGAUAACAGGCUGAUACCGCCCAAGAGUUCAUAUCGACGGCGGUGUUUGGCACCUCGAUGUCGGCUCAUCACAUCCUGGGGCUGAAGUAGGUCCCAAGGGUAUGGCUGUUCGCCAUUUAAAGUGGUACGCGAGCUGGGUUUAGAACGUCGUGAGACAGUUCGGUCCCUAUCUGCCGUGGGCGCUGGAGAAUUGAGGGGGGCUGCUCCUAGUACGAGAGGACCGGAGUGGACGCAUCACUGGUGUUCGGGUUGUCAUGCCAAUGGCACUGCCCGGUAGCUAAAUGCGGAAGAGAUAAGUGCUGAAAGCAUCUAAGCACGAAACUUGCCCCGAGAUGAGUUCU
Molecule: ribosomal RNA, 2772 nt
Filed under: Klebsiella pneumoniae
Lineage: Bacteria; Pseudomonadati; Pseudomonadota; Gammaproteobacteria; Enterobacterales; Enterobacteriaceae
Description: bacterial LSU rRNA
Rfam family: Bacterial large subunit ribosomal RNA
Source: RNAcentral